This 253-nucleotide ribosomal RNA is filed under the name uncultured bacterium. RNAcentral's name for it is "partial 16S ribosomal RNA". It matches the Rfam family "Bacterial small subunit ribosomal RNA", at positions 524 to 776 of the family's 1533-position model. The record is from RNAcentral.
UACGGGGGGAGCAAGCGUUGUUCGGAAUCACUGGGCGUAAAGGGCGUGUAGGCGGUCAGGUAAGUGAGACGUGAAAUGCCCCGGCUUACCCGGGGACCUGCGUCUCAUACUGCUUGGCUUGAGUACGGGAGAGGGUGUGGGAAUUCCUGGUGUAGCGGUGAAAUGCGUAGAUACCAGGAGGAACACCGGUGGCGAAGGCGCACACCUGGCCCGAUACUGACGCUGAGGCGCGAAAGCUAGGGGAGCAAACGGG